GAGUUUGAUCGUGGCUCAGAACGAACGCUGGCGGCAUGGAUUAGGCAUGCAAGUUGAACGAACCACUUCGGUGGAGAGUAGCGGAAGGGUGAGGAACGCGUGAGUAAUCUGCCCCCUAGUUGGGAAUAACAGUUGGAAACGACUGCUAAUACCGAAUGUGGCUUCAAUCCUGCAUGGGAUGGAGGCUAAAGAUUUAUCGCUAGGGGAUGAGCUCGCGUCCCAUUAGGUAGUUGGUGAGGUAACGGCCCACCAAGCCGACGAUGGGUAGCUGGUCUGAGAGGAUGGUCAGCCACACUGGGACUGAGACACUGCCCAGACUCCUACGGGAGGCUGCAGUCGAGAAUCUUGGGCAAUGCGCGAAAGCGUGACCCAGCAAUGCCGCGUGUGUGAUGAAGGCCUUCGGGUCGUAAAGCACUGUCUCCCGUGA
Molecule: ribosomal RNA, 427 nt
Filed under: uncultured bacterium
Lineage: Bacteria
Description: bacterial SSU rRNA
Rfam family: Bacterial small subunit ribosomal RNA
Source: RNAcentral